RNAcentral lists this ribosomal RNA (593 nucleotides) under uncultured bacterium. Its description in RNAcentral is "bacterial SSU rRNA". The stretch from base 1 to 521 matches the Rfam family "Bacterial small subunit ribosomal RNA", at positions 338 to 873 of the family's 1533-position model. The record is from RNAcentral.
CCUACGGGAGGCAGCAGUGGGGAAUCUUGCGCAAUGGGCGAAAGCCUGACGCAGCAACGCCGCGUGCGGGAAGAAGGCCUUCGGGUUGUAAACCGCUUUCAGAAGGAACGAAAAUGACGGUACUUUCAGAAGAAGGUGCGGCCAACUACGUGCCAGCAGCCGCGGUGACACGUAGGCACCAAGCGUUGUCCGGAUUUAUUGGGCGUAAAGAGCUCGUAGGCGGUUCGGUAAGUCGGGUGUGAAAACUUUGGGCUCAACCCAAAGCGUGCAUUCGAUACUGUCGUGACUAGAGUUCGGUAGGGGAGCGGGGAAUUCCUAGUGUAGCGGUGAAAUGCGCAGAUAUUAGGAGGAACACCGGUGGCGAAGGCGCCGCUCUGGGCCGAAACUGACGCUGAGGAGCGAAAGCGUGGGUAGCAAACAGGAUUAGAUACCCUGGUAGUCCACGCCGUAAACGUUGGGCACUAGGUGUGGGUCUCAACCAACGAGAUCCGCGCCGUCGCAAACGCAUUAAGUGCCCCGCCUGGGGAGGUACGGCCGCGAGUAAACGUUAAAUAGAUAGACGCGUGAGACNGCGACGACGACACGAGGGAGAG